CCGCCUUUUUCUGGGAAGUUCACAGAAAAAAGGAGUUACUUUGUUGUUCUUUAAAACAAACUCAAGAUUAAAAAAAACCCACAACCCAGCGAACCCAACAAAGUCUGAAUUGCAGAGUCUGCCUGGCUAUGUCUUGAGGCUCUAUAAUGGAGCCCACUGGUGUAGUUUCUUUGUAGCAGUGCGGUUAAUAAAAUGAGAUCCCAGGUGAACUUCUUGGUGGCUUUUCAUCCUCUGUGGUGGUAGGCAGCAGAGCCUGGUGUAAUUCUGAGGUGAUCAGUGUUGAUUUGUUAGCUUUGCCAGGGACUAGAGCCUAGACUGUGACUGAGAAAAGGACUUCUCACUCUCUGGAUAGCAUAUGCUCUUCUACAUCUUUAUAAGCUGUCUGGGGCAGGAGCUGUCUGUGUUCCUGCCAGGCUUCUCAGUUUUGCCAUAAACCCCAACAAAAGAUAACUUUUUCUCUCCAUGCAGAUUCCUUGAUUUUUGGUAACAGUCAGAUCUGAAAAGUUGUUAGUAUUACUGGAAUAAAACAUGCUGGAACAACCAGGAAUGGGGUCUCCUGUGUGAAGGAGGGCUUUUCUUAGAAGAAUAGUAAAUCAAGGCUAUAUUUAAAAAGGUUUACUUGCCUUAUUCUACUUCACACUGGCUUUCAAAGAAUAGAAUUAACAAAGUGGGUCUUACUCAUGUAUUUAUAUUCUUUAGAUGCAAACUCUUCAUUAUGUUUUAAGGUUAAUGACAUACUCUAGGUGUUUGACCUGGUGUGCUAUAAUGUGUGGUACAAGUUGCCUGAGUAAUCUGGCAUAUUUUAGGACUUCAUUAAAAUGCAGUGGACUUUGUUGUGUUCCAUGUGGGCUUACUUUUGGCUGGUGGCUUCAGUUACCAAGAAGUGAGAUGGGAGUAGGGGAAAGUGUCUCCUUAGCUUUUAAUUUCAUAUAAGCAAAACAUGAUUAUCCUAUUUGAUUUUAACUGUCAUGAUAUUAAGGACAUUGUCUUGAUCUCCCUGUUUUGUAGAACCAACUGGGGAGAUGGGAAGUAUUCAUUGAAAGCUCUUACCACUCUUCAAUGAGAAGACAGAUGGUUACUGGGGGUUCAGAGAGGUGGUUUUUCUUUUCAUAAUGGAGCAAACCAAGCCCAGAAUGUUUGAGGAUGGCCCGUAAAAGGAAAGGGACCAUGCACCCCUGUGAGAGAAAGCAGAGGCAGAAACCUGGCUGUUGUCCUGCAUGCAUUGAAGACUAAACAAAAAAGAGAUGGAGUGACUUUGGUGUGAGGGAAGCCACGCUGGUAGCCCCAGUAAUGGAUGAUUAAAUAAGCGAGUGAUUCUGGGGCAGUGCCUUCCAGCUGAAUAUAAUUAAAAGCCUUUAGCAAUCAUUCUUCCCGUGGGUGGUUUUGCAUUCCAUUUUUAAUCAUAAGCAAAAGAGCUGGUUGGCUGUUUUUUGUUGUAUUUUUCAAAUGGCAUUCCAUCGUUUAAGCUCAAUGAAUGGGGACAAUAAUUGUAACUGAUUUUGUGCCUAAUCAGGACAUAUCAUGUAAUUGUGGCUGAAUUCCGAGCUCUUUUUAGUAUUCUGUGGAAGUCUGGGACUUUGAACAUAGUUCUGAUUUUUCUGUCUUCUCCCACAGUCUGGAAACUGACAGGUAGAGGGCAGCAAAGCUCCAUUUUUUUUUUUAGUUGAAACCAUUUUUUUAUUGAAGUGGUUUUUAUCAAGCUAAAUAAUGAUCAUGUCAGUUAGAUGCAUUGGUUGAUGAUCUGAGUGGCUCAAAAUUAAUAUAAAAUUUUCAAUUAAGAAAAAAUAUUUACUAAAAUACAAAUAAAUUUAAAAGAACCUGGCCUGCAGUACGAUUUAACUGGUUGUGAAGCAGCUGGAAUACAAGGGGGAAAAAAAAUCAUUUGCAAAACCAACCGAAGGGCGGCUUUUAACAUCAAUAGUGAGAAACUUGUGCUGGUUUAUGCCAAAAUCUGUAAUUACAGACCGCAUGCUGAAUUGUAUAAAUGGAAACAAAAUGAAAUCACACACAAAUAUCUCCUGCUUAAGGAAGAAAAAAAUGAAAGGGAGUCUUGCAUGCAGCUCUGGAUUGAUUUUUGGAUAAAUGCCCCAUCUUUGCCUCAUUUAUCUCACAAUGUGAAACUAGUCAUAUUACUCAGUGGUGACACUAUUCCCCUGUGAUUCUUUAAGUGUAGUUAUGAAAUGAUGGCACUGAGUUUGAAAUCAGUUACUCCUCCAGCAUCAGUGUGAGCUGUAAACAUUUCACAAGAGGAACAGGAAAAGCAUUAAACCAAAAAUGCUGUUAAUUCUUAUGAGUUCACCCAAAAGGGAAUACCCCAUGCAGUACUUUAGCCAUUAAUAAUGAAUGUUAUUCAUUAAUGCAGAAAGUGGAAUUUACUUAGUUAAAUACACUGGAACAUAUAUUUUAUCUUUCAGAGUGAUUAUAACGUUGUACUGUUUAGCUGGUACUGUUGCCUGGUACUAGUAUUGCAUGUGGCUGUACAGUGAGUGUGCAGGGAGUUUAGGGGACAAUUUGAGCUCAAAGCCCUGGUUUAAUAAGGAAAAUCAGCGUCUGAAGCUGGCAACAGUCACGCUUUGUUGUGACUUUCUGUUCUGAAACGUACCUGCCAUGUGUUUAGUAGAAACAAACCCAAACCCCUCUAUUCAAAUCUUAUGGCCCUUUUACCUCUAUUCAAAUGUUCUGUCCAUUUUCAGAGUUCACUUUUAUAUCAUGUAGAUUCACUAAAGACAGAGUAUGUAAGGACUCAUAGUGGCUCACCAGCUCUGAAAUUUUCAGAUUUUGUACAUCCUGGUUGAAGCUGUCAGGUAAGGGGUAGUGCCUCAGUCUUGGCCUCUUUGCCCUCUGCACACUUAGUAGCAACCCACACUUCCAGCUGUGUGUUUCUUUCAGUUACAUCUCAGGUAGCUAUUCAUUUGGCGUCCUUGUUUGUAGUGGACUAAAAAGAUGCAGGCAAAAAGUUUACAAAAUGGAGAAAUCGAGUGUAAGUUGGAAGGCAGUAAACAUGAAGAUGCUGUCUGUCCUUUGACCGCUUAUUUCAGAGAUAGAAGGUGUUUUGCAGGUUUAAAUUGGGAGGUAAUAAUAAGAUUCCUCUUAACUUAAAAAUGAUUUUUUUAUUUUUGUAGGUUUCUGUCAAAGUGCCAAUAUAGUUUUAAACAUAUUGUAUUAAUUUUAUCUCAUGUGCUGGGACUUUCACUGCUGUCAACAGGUGUCCUCUCUGAAUGCCAUGGAAAGCAGAAUUUGGCUUCCUUGGUCUUACUGUGCUUCAGAGUUUGGAUUGUGUUUUGUUUUCUCUCUGUUUGUUUUGUCCAUUUGUCAGUGGCUCCUGGGGAACCAUAUUCUGUAUUUAAUUUUGAAAUGCCCUUUUGAAGGACAUCACAUGAGAUUUUCAUUGUCUGUCUUCUGUAUAUCAUUCCUCUUGCCUAUUCUGGGUGAAACUGACCCCAGGUUAUUGCAGACACCUUGAAAUAUCUCCUGCUUUAUUUAAACCAAGUUUUCAGGCAUGUUACUUUAAACCCCUUCACAUCUGGAUAAACGAGUCUUAAGUUAUGACUGUGUAAUGUUUUUAUGGUAGGUUUUAAACUAUCAUUGUUUAUUUAUGGGAACAAUUUCAUGUAACUUUUUAGCAUUAUCAAAAAUGAAUACACAUUUGUAAACAUAGUAAGUAUUUAAGUAUUGGAAUAGGAAUAGUGAGUAUUUAAGUAUUAAAAAAUUUAUUGCAUGUUAAUUCUUCAAAGAAGUGACAAAUAUUUGGAUCCGCAAAAGAAAUCAUAAGUAAUUUAGUACAUAAUGCAGUCAUUGAAAAAAACAACAAUCCAUUAAUCAGAAAAAUAACAGUACCUAAUGGGUUGCAUUUGUAGUGUGAAGUGUCUGAAACUUGAACCUUUAUGCUGUAACAGCAUAAAGCAGCUCUAAGCCAAAUUGGCUGUUUUAAUUUCUGCAUGGCUAACACUUAGGAAAUAUGAUUAAUAAAUUUUUAAUGCA
Long non-coding RNA from Falco peregrinus (peregrine falcon), 3981 nucleotides. RefSeq lists it as uncharacterized. The record is from RefSeq and is a predicted model, not a curated record. Lineage: Eukaryota; Metazoa; Chordata; Aves; Falconiformes; Falconidae. The transcript has 2 exons.